GGUACACUGAAUCCAGCCUUUCUGAGUAGACAGUGAAAUUUUUUGAUGCUAUUGAGAGGAGACCCCUUACAGUGCAAAGCAAUGUGGACAUUUUGGGUUGAGAAGGAGGCUUUAGUGAGCAUUUCUGGGGGACACUCAGAUGGUAGGUGGAAUAAUCAGAAACUGCUAUUCCACCUCCAAUUGAUUAUAGAGAGAGGUUAGGCUUCUGAUAUAUUUCAGCUAAGAAAGGCAAGUAAAACGGGAUGAAUCCAGGCCAUCGUGUUCAGCAAGGUAGAAGACUCUACACUUGCUCUUGUUAAACCUUGUCAGAUUCCUUCCUGCUCAACUCUUCAGUUUGUCCAGAUCUUGUUGAGUGGCAGCAGAGCCUUUAGGAGAAAGACAGAUGUGCUCCUCUCUCUGAUUCAGAUUGAGGUCUUUGAAGAAAACUGCAUCAACUCAUCUGACCAGAAGAUGAUGGUGAAACUGAGGAGAGACUUACUUAUGUCUUUCCUGAGACCAGGCUGUUGAGUGACUGGAAAUGUUCCUGAAGAGUGUAUGCUAUGGCAGGAGGCACCUGACUUAAAAGCGCAUACAGACUAAUGACUUCAGUCUUGAAGAUUUUUAUUUGCCCUCAUACUGUAAGGAAUUUAGGCACAAUCCAAUUUAUGCAUGAUCUGCUGAAGGAUCAAGCUCACUGGAAACACUGCACAAAAGGCAUUUACAGAGGGAACUUCUGAGCACAGAAGGUCAGCUCUAUUAUUGAUAAUUAUUUAAUUUUAGAGAGAAGAUCAUGCAACAUCGUACACUGUAUCAUUCAGUUUUGUUCUUAAAUCCUCCUGAGCAAAUCUAUUUCUUGUUCUUACUUGUUCUAAAUUUGCUUGUGGAUUUCCUCUGGCUUUUUUUUUUUUUCAAACACUGUAAUUAAUUGGGAAGUUGGUGCAUUUUUAUUCUUCUAACUAUUCUUCUAACGUUUUGAAAACACAGCUCUUCAGAUUUAGUGGCAAAACCAGAUCAUGUUAUUGUAACUAACAUUACUGUUAGUUAUUUGUUAUGUUUCUUAUGUUAAUUAUGUUAUUAUGACAUUAUUGUAACUAACAAGUCAGAAGCCAUGUUGCAUUUAAGGGUUGUGAAGAAAUCUAUUUGCAUAUCCUUCAAUAUGGACCUUUUUUUCUACCAAGUGAAUUGCCUGUUCACUUAGUAUUACAGCAAAAAUGGCUUUUAGAAAAUUACCUGUUAGGAAAGAAGGUACUACUGCUCCCAAUUAAGUACUUGCCAUUCAGCAAUCUAAGAGGCAGAACUUUAAUGGAAAUUUUCUGAAAAGCUUUCUCCCACUAGAAGAUUUCAACCAGUAUUCAAAACAUUUUGCUACAUGAUGGGGGAAACUCAAUGUGUAGUACUCUGGCUGAUUCUCACCUGUAUGGUGACACAGAGCUACAGGAACAAUUUACAGGUAUCUGAUAUUGUGAGAAAAGCCCCCAAGCUGUGUAACUUCUUGCCUCCACAAGGUUUUCUUUCCUAAAUGCUGCCUGAAUGGGGCUUAUUUGUUAAAGAAUAUUUUCUGUAGCUUCAACAACUUUUUUUUUGUUAAAGCAUUCAUUAUUUAAAAAAGAAAGAGGGGGGGGGAGUGCUUUUCAUUGAAAAGAUAACCUUCACAAUUUUUCCAGAUUAUGAAACAACAAAUUACUUUUGCUCAUAUAAAAAUGUGGACAAAACUUGUACAGGAAGUACAAGAAAUUGGAGAAAAUUUUUUACAUUUUUCAUUUAGUUUCCAACUCGUUCUUGCUUUCACUCUUCAAUAAAAACAGUGUGUUCAAGGAUACACUGUUAGUAUUGUGGGUAUUGUCUUAUAGCAGUAAAAAGAAAACUUACUAGAGGUAUCAGUUCAAAAAGUUAGAAUGUGAUUUUUACAUAUUAAAAGUUUAAUUUUCCAUUG
Gallus gallus (chicken) is the source of this 1912-nucleotide long non-coding RNA. RefSeq lists it as uncharacterized. The record is from RefSeq and is a predicted model, not a curated record. The transcript is spliced from 6 exons. NCBI's taxonomy places the organism in Eukaryota, Metazoa, Chordata, Aves, Galliformes, Phasianidae.